GAGCUCUUUCUGAGAUGAAGAGAACUCUCAAUGUCAAGAUUUCAACAAGAAGAGAAUGGAAUACACGAUACGGACAUCCAUAAAAAUUCUUCAGAGGGUGUUUUACUACUGAGCUGCAAAGGGAAAAACUUAAAAUGGAUAUGAAAAGUGAAGAAAGUGAUCAUAGGAGAAAACCAUUUCAGAUGACAAGAGCACCUCAAAGGCAGCAGCCUCAAGAAGCAGCCAUGGCCCCAGAGUUGUCCCACGGAUGCAGAAAACUUAAUGGAGGAGGCUGAGGUCAGAAUGGGAAGAGUUUUUAAAAAGUAAAAAGGGGAGCUAAUAUGUG
Molecule: long non-coding RNA, 325 nt
Filed under: Pongo abelii (Sumatran orangutan)
Lineage: Eukaryota; Metazoa; Chordata; Mammalia; Primates; Hominidae
Description: lincRNA
Source: RNAcentral